This 318-nucleotide unclassified non-coding RNA is filed under the name uncultured fungus. RNAcentral's name for it is "partial contains 5.8S ribosomal RNA and internal transcribed spacer 2". The stretch from base 1 to 133 matches the Rfam family "5.8S ribosomal RNA", at positions 22 to 154 of the family's 154-position model. Lineage: Eukaryota; Fungi. The record is from RNAcentral.
UGGUUCCAGCAUCGAUGAAGAACGCAGCGAACUGCGAUAAGUAAUGUGAAUUGCAGAAUUCAGUGAAUCAUCGAGUCUUUGAACGCACAUUGCGCCCCCUGGCAUUCCGGGGGGCAUGCCUGUUCGAGCGUCAUUACACCACUCAGGCCCCGCCUGGCGAUGGGCACCGGUCUCGCCAGACCGGCCCGAAAUCGAGCGGCGACCCUACCAAUCCCCGAGCGCAUUGGGUGAAAAACUCGCUCUGCGGGCUGCGGCGGUGGGUGCCGGCCAAAGACACACUCUGAGAUUGACCUCGGAUCAGGCAGGGAUACCCGCUGA